GCUGGUGUAGCUCAAUGGUAGAGCAACGGAUUUGUAAUCCGUAGUUGGGGGUUCAAGUCCCUUCACCAGCU
Molecule: transfer RNA, 71 nt
Filed under: Trieres chinensis
Lineage: Eukaryota; Bacillariophyta; Thalassiosirophyceae; Eupodiscales; Parodontellaceae
Description: tRNA-Thr (ugu)
Rfam family: tRNA
About the family: Transfer RNA (tRNA) molecules are approximately 80 nucleotides in length. Their secondary structure includes four short double-helical elements and three loops (D, anti-codon, and T loops).
Source: RNAcentral